UCUCUCUUGCAUCUCUCUACAAUUUAUAAAACUUUAUAGAUCUAGAACAGUUUGAGUUUAGUGUUUCAUUGGUUUUGGUAUCUCAAGUAAUAAACUUUAAUUAGUUCGUAUUAAUUGUGCGUCUUCUGUUCUCUCUGUACGUGUAGUAGUAAUUGCAUCUUUGUGUGUAUGUUUUUGUUGUCAGCAUCUGAGACAGGUGUCUUCUGGGACAUAGACGAAUGCGAGAUCCCUGAGGAACUCAACGCUGCUCAGGUCUUACAGAGGAUGAGACAGAAUUUUUCGGAGGGUGGUCAUCGUGGUCCUGUCUCAUUCCGAGCUUACGGUGAUAUGACCGGUCUUGACAUUCAAUCCUCUGAUGGAUUUUUUUGAAAAGAAUCCAUUUGAGUGCCCUGGAGAAGGAGUCCAUCCGCGGGCUUGCGACUCCCCUUGAUUCAACCAGGUUAAAAAAUCCUCUGAUGUUAAGCUCAAUCAUUUUCAUGCAGUGGUCACUUGAGAAUCCAGAACCAUCGGUGGUAGUGCUAAUCUUGGAGACUUGGAAGACGUCGGAGCUUACAUCGCCGAGGUUAUGCGACUUCUUAAGAUUCAAAAAAAUUACGAGUUUAUGGUCGUGUAUCCACCACCCCCACGUCCAACGUUAACGGUGGUGAGGUUUCUGAGGGUUGGCAGGGGCGUUGCGUCCUGAGAUUUGGGGACCUAAAACAAUUUAGUGAGGGUUUUCGAAUAAUUUUUUUUUACAAAUUCUGAGAUUUUUUUGUAUGUAAUUUUUUUGAAAAAAAUUUGGGGGCUCUAUGCCGAUGUUUCAAUUCGCUGUGCUCAGGACCACGCAUGCUUCUGUGGUGGACUCUAAGUUUUGGUUUAAUUAGUAAGAGUAUAUGAAGAACAUUUAAAUUUCAAGAAGUUUGUAGUUUUUAUUGUUAGUAAAAAUGUUUGGAUAAUCAAA
Brassica oleracea var. oleracea is the source of this 940-nucleotide long non-coding RNA. RefSeq lists it as uncharacterized. The record is from RefSeq and is a predicted model, not a curated record. The transcript is spliced from 2 exons. NCBI's taxonomy places the organism in Eukaryota, Viridiplantae, Streptophyta, Magnoliopsida, Brassicales, Brassicaceae.